ACUCCGGGAAACCGGUGCUAAUACCGAAUAGUUUGCGGCCUCUCCUGAGGCUGCACGGAAAGACGGUUUCGGCUGUCACUGCAGGAUGGGCCCGCGGCGCAUUAGCUAGUUGGUGGGGUAAUGGCCCACCAAGGCGACGAUGCGUAGCCGACCUGAGAGGGUGAUCGGCCACACUGGGACUGAGACACGGCCCAGACUCCUACGGGAGGCAGCAGUAGGGAAUCUUCCGCAAUGGACGAAAGUCUGACGGAGCAACGCCGCG
RNAcentral lists this ribosomal RNA (262 nucleotides) under uncultured Planococcus sp. RNAcentral's name for it is "partial 16S ribosomal RNA". It matches the Rfam family "Bacterial small subunit ribosomal RNA", at positions 146 to 401 of the family's 1533-position model. The record is from RNAcentral. Lineage: Bacteria; Bacillati; Bacillota; Bacilli; Caryophanales; Caryophanaceae.